RNAcentral lists this ribosomal RNA (1446 nucleotides) under uncultured organism. RNAcentral describes it as "SSU rRNA". It matches the Rfam family "Bacterial small subunit ribosomal RNA". The record is from RNAcentral.
GCUACAGGCUUAACACAUGCAAGUCGAGGGGCAUCAGGAAGAAAGCUUGCUUUCUUUGCUGGCGACCGGCGCACGGGUGAGUAACACGUAUCCAACCUGCCCUUUACUCGGGGAUAGCCUUUCGAAAGAAAGAUUAAUACCCGAUAGCAUAAUGAUUCCGCAUGGUUUCAUUAUUAAAGGAUUCCGGUAAAGGAUGGGGAUGCGUUCCAUUAGGUUGUUGGUGAGGUAACGGCCCACCAAGCCUUCGAUGGAUAGGGGUUCUGAGAGGAAGGUCCCCCACAUUGGAACUGAGACACGGUCCAAACUCCUACGGGAGGCAGCAGUGAGGAAUAUUGGUCAAUGGGCGCUAGCCUGAACCAGCCAAGUAGCGUGAAGGAUGAAGGCUCUAUGGGUCGUAAACUUCUUUUAUAUAAGAAUAAAGUGCAGUAUGUAUACUGUUUUGUAUGUAUUAUAUGAAUAAGGAUCGGCUAACUCCGUGCCAGCAGCCGCGGUAAUACGGAGGAUCCGAGCGUUAUCCGGAUUUAUUGGGUUUAAAGGGAGCGUAGGUGGACUGGUAAGUCAGUUGUGAAAGUUUGCGGCUCAACCGUAAAAUUGCAGUUGAUACUGUCAGUCUUGAGUACAGUAGAGGUGGGCGGAAUUCGUGGUGUAGCGGUGAAAUGCUUAGAUAUCACGAAGAACUCCGAUUGCGAAGGCAGCUCACUGGACUGCAACUGACACUGAUGCUCGAAAGUGUGGGUAUCAAACAGGAUUAGAUACCCUGGUAGUCCACACAGUAAACGAUGAAUACUCGCUGUUUGCGAUAUACAGUAAGCGGCCAAGCGAAAGCAUUAAGUAUUCCACCUGGGGAGUACGCCGGCAACGGUGAAACUCAAAGGAAUUGACGGGGGCCCGCACAAGCGGAGGAACAUGUGGUUUAAUUCGAUGAUACGCGAGGAACCUUACCCGGGCUUAAAUUGCAGUGGAAUGAUGUGGAAACAUGUCAGUGAGCAAUCACCGCUGUGAAGGUGCUGCAUGGUUGUCGUCAGCUCGUGCCGUGAGGUGUCGGCUUAAGUGCCAUAACGAGCGCAACCCUUAUCUUUAGUUACUAACAGGUUAUGCUGAGGACUCUAGAGAGACUGCCGUCGUAAGAUGUGAGGAAGGUGGGGAUGACGUCAAAUCAGCACGGCCCUUACGUCCGGGGCUACACACGUGUUACAAUGGGGGGUACAGAAGGCAGCUAGCGGGUGACCGUAUGCUAAUCCCAAAAUCCUCUCUCAGUUCGGAUCGAAGUCUGCAACCCGACUUCGUGAAGCUGGAUUCGCUAGUAAUCGCGCAUCAGCCACGGCGCGGUGAAUACGUUCCCGGGCCUUGUACACACCGCCCGUCAAGCCAUGGGAGCCGGGGGUACCUGAAGUACGUAACCGCAAGGAUCGUCCUAGGGUAAAACUGGUGACUGGGGCUAAAUCA